RNAcentral lists this long non-coding RNA (504 nucleotides) under Capsicum annuum. RNAcentral describes it as "long non-coding RNA (CANN_LNC011518)". Lineage: Eukaryota; Viridiplantae; Streptophyta; Magnoliopsida; Solanales; Solanaceae. The record is from RNAcentral.
AGCAAAAUAUGUUAUGGAGGUCUUGCAAACUAAAUCAUGUUCUUGGUCAUGGUGCAUGAACCUGAAGACAUUAGACUAUUUUUUUUUGAACUAGGUUACUUCGAAAGGGCAUUUGACUAUUAUGGGAGAGCUUCACAGAGAACAAGAUUUUCAAUGUAAGAAAUGGCACAUGGAACUUGUUUCCUGCUUGAUGCUUCGAUAGAACACUAAUCAUAGAAGCAAUCCCUACUAGUUACAGAAAUGCAGUUGAUUAGAGAAGCUAUAGCAUAUGACAGACUGACACCGAGAUGGACGUGGAACUCAGUAGCAACUUCAAUGAUUGGAAGGUGGAGGCUAUGUGCCAACUGUUACAGCUAUUUGCUAGCUUCAUAACCGUGCGUACAAGCCCUGACACUUACCAUGGUAUGGCUGUGUAAUGAGAAAUUCUUUGUUAAAACUUUUUAUAAAAUCCCAUGCAGAGUAAAAAUGCAGCAAUCUGGGUGGCCAUGAAAAUAUUCAAGAGUU